CAGCAGCCACGGGAAUACGUAGGGUGCAAGCGUUAUCCGGAAUUAUUGGGCGUAAAGAGCUCGUAGGCGGUCUGUCGCGUCUGCUGUGAAAACUGGGGGCUCAACCCCCAGCCUGCAGUGGGUACGGGCAGACUAGAGUGCGGUAGGGGAGAUUGGAAUUCCUGGUGUAGCGGUGGAAUGCGCAGAUAUCAGGAGGAACACCGAUGGCGAAGGCAGAUCUCUGGGCCGUAACUGACGCUGAGGAGCGAAAGCAUGGGGAGCGAACAGGAUUAGAGACCCGUGUAGUCCCUGUCUCUUAUAC
This 301-nucleotide ribosomal RNA is filed under the name uncultured bacterium. RNAcentral's name for it is "partial 16S ribosomal RNA". It matches the Rfam family "Bacterial small subunit ribosomal RNA", at positions 509 to 807 of the family's 1533-position model. The record is from RNAcentral.